AUUGAACGCUGGCGGCAUGCCUUACACAUGCAAGUCGAGCGCGAAAGGGGGCAACCCCGAGUAGAGCGGCGGACGGGUGAGUAACACAUCGGAACGUGCCCAGUAGUGGGGGACAACCUCGAGAAAUCGAGGCUAAUACCGCAUACGACCCACGGGUGAAAGCGGGGGACCGCAAGGCCUCGCGCUAUUGGAGCGGCCGAUGUCCGAUUAGCUAGUUGGCGGGGUAAGAGCCCACCAAGGCGACGAUCGGUAGCUGGUCUGAGAGGACGACCAGCCACACUGGGACUGAGACACGGCCCAGACUCCUACGGGAGGCAGCAGUGGGGAAUUUUGGACAAUGGGGGCAACCCUGAUCCAGCCAUGCCGCGUGC
RNAcentral lists this ribosomal RNA (371 nucleotides) under uncultured bacterium. RNAcentral's name for it is "bacterial SSU rRNA". It matches the Rfam family "Bacterial small subunit ribosomal RNA", at positions 29 to 404 of the family's 1533-position model. The record is from RNAcentral.